This 74-nucleotide transfer RNA is filed under the name Niabella hirudinis. Its description in RNAcentral is "tRNA-Pro". It matches the Rfam family "tRNA". From Rfam's summary of the family: Transfer RNA (tRNA) molecules are approximately 80 nucleotides in length. RNAcentral also lists the same sequence under 13 other names. Lineage: Bacteria; Pseudomonadati; Bacteroidota; Chitinophagia; Chitinophagales; Chitinophagaceae. The record is from RNAcentral.
CGGGAUGUAGCGCAGCCCGGUAGCGCGCGUCGUUCGGGACGACGAGGCCGCAGGUUCGAAUCCUGUCAUCCCGA